RNAcentral lists this long non-coding RNA (3095 nucleotides) under Aquilegia coerulea. RNAcentral's name for it is "long non-coding RNA (ACOE_LNC002194)". The record is from RNAcentral. Lineage: Eukaryota; Viridiplantae; Streptophyta; Magnoliopsida; Ranunculales; Ranunculaceae.
GUGGAAUAGAUAUUAUCUUCAAAGACAAAACGCUCAACAAAACAAUUAUUUAGCUGAAGGGACUGUUUGGACCUGGCCAAAUAUGGAUCAACUUUCAAUAACAAUGAGGGAGAGGGUGAGAUUUUCUGAGCUCCAAAAUGUGUGAUAAAGUCAUGGAAGAGAAAUGAUGAAGCAGGAAGAACACCAGCAAGUUAGGGCCAGACAACACACCAGCAGCAUAGGGCUAAAGCCAGCAGGUUAUAGGUUGCAGCAAACCAGCAACGUAUCGCCACCAGAUGCUGGAUUGUUCUACUUCAGUUAGUUAACACAGCUGCCCACACAAUCUAAAAUUUCUAUGAAAUUGCAGUGAUGUAUGCUAAUUGCUAAAAAAAUUCUCAACUAGUUUAGUCAAGGGAGAGGUAAACAGAGGUGCAACUGCAGGGGUUUGAAGAUAGCAGAUAAGCUGAAGUAAUUUCAGCAAGACUGCAGAGGAAACAGACAACAGUAGCAGCAGCGAGCACUGUUCAGAACUAUGCAGUUUCUAUGGAUAUUUUGUCAGGAUCAGUGUAAGCAUAGGUGAAAAUAUCGUGCGUGCCGGGCGGAUAUUCGCGAUAUUUUCCGUUUUUUCAGAGAUCGGCACGGUACGGAUCACGGCAUAUAUUCGGAUAUUAAAACACCCCAGGCCGGUCGGCAUUUAUCGGAUAUUCGCGGCAUAAAUCGGUAAAAACCGAUAUUUAUCGAAAUUUUGGAAAUUUUCGAUUUAAAAAUUAACAUAUUUAUUUUUAAUCCCCCCGAACUAGAAUUUUCGAUGAGAUUAUCAAAAAAAGGUCCAAAAGGCACUAGACGUUUGGAAACUUUCGCGACGAACUUGAUGGCCCUCCAAGAGCAAUAUAUCAGAAAGAAACGAAAAAAAAGCACGUCCAUGCCAAAUUGAAGUUCUCUCUCACUUUUGGCAAACCAGUAUACUGUUUGUAUCCAAGGUUUGUUUUUGUGUAAUGAAUAAUUGGUAUCGAAUUGGUUUACCCUCAUUUUUCUUAUGGUAACAUAGGAACCUCCCAAAGUGAUGAUUCCAGUGUACCAUCCUACCAAACCCAACCAGAUGACAGUGGUUCUUGGUUUCCUAAUAUAGGGAGUUGGUUGGCCCCAAUGACAAGUGCGUCCGACGUGCAGUCAGCCGAUACAUUAAUGCCGGUUCAACAAUACUCGAGAUUUCCUAUCUUUGAAUCAUUUGCUCCGUAUUGUAUGGAUCAAGAUGCAUAUGAUAUGCAUAUUGACCAAUUCAGGUCGUACGAGCAAACAAUGUCAUGGGAAUAUUACUGUACUGAGUUCGUCCCCACACGUAUGCGACUCGAAGCUCAUCGGUUUGACAAGGGGCGUCUAUCAUUCUGGGGUUAGCAUGUCUUUUAUUUUGAUUAUUAAAAUAAAACUAUGGGUUGAGUUGUAAUGAGGUUGUUUGUGUUUAGUUCUUGUAUUGUAAACAUAUAAAAUUUCUAUGAAUAUCCGCCCGAUAUUUACGAUUUUUUCACCUAUGAGUAAAACUAUCUUGUGUAAUAGUUCCGUCUUAACUUCCUUGUAUGAUUUGUCGUGUGUUUAAUUUGUAAUGUAUGUUUUUCUUUUAAUUAUAAGUUUAUAUAUCGAAAUCCGCGAAAAAACACGUAAAGUGCAGAAAACCUCCCAAUUUGCCGAAUUUUUCGCGAAUAUUCGCGAAUAUCCGCGGCAUAAACCGAUUUUUUCGAAUUUGCCAAACCAAUACAAUCCGACACAUGAGGUCGGAUAUCCGCGAUAUUUUCCGGUUUUUGGGGGAUCGGAUAUCCGCCCCUAAACGAUAUUUUCACCUAUGAGUGUAAGCACUCAUCCUCUUUCUUACAGUUAAUUUUUUUUGAUAGAAUGCAGGGAUCACACUGUACAAGGAUGUACUACUGGAGGUAUAUCUCCAGAGGUAGUAAUCUGCUGACAGUAGCAUAUAUACUGGUCAGAAUCUGUAAUUGUUCCAGAGUUUUGAAUAUUAAUUUUACGUUCCAAGGAAAUGGACACUGAUUCAAGAAUUGCAAGAUAGUUGGAGGUGAUGAGGAGCUCAUUCCAUUCGCUAUUAAUUAGGAGGAUAGAUAUGUGUCAACUGGAAGGUAUAUGUCCACUACUAUUAUACGAAAUUGCAGUUCUGGACAGGUGGGCUGCCAAUAUUGCUCUCUGUAUGAUUUCCUCUCAUAUACAGAUUUUUACACUUUGAAAAAUGGCCUAUUACAGGAUCAGGUAGCCAAGAUUGAAGACUAAACCUCAUGGAACAUGCAUGAGAGGAGACCAACUUUGCAAUGGGAGCAAGAACAAUGGGACCAGCUGUUGACUUUGCUCAGACAACAGAGAUUAAGCAAUGAGCCUGACAACUGGAUAUGGUGCCCUACAAGUAAGGAGUCUUUCACAGUCAAAAGUUUUUAUGAUAAACUUGAAGAAGAAAGGAGAGCCCUCAAUGCUGCUACACUGCCUGGUUUCCCUUACAACUUGGUAGGGUCUACUGAUAUCCCUUGUAAGAUCAAUUUUUUUUUUCUGGUGCUCUGUACAAGGUAGAAUCCAAACCACGGAUCACCUUGUCAGAAGAGGAAUGGACCUGCCUGACGUAUGCAUUGUCUCUAAGCAGUACCCUGAAACUGCUACACACUUCACUGGUUGUAAGGGUACUGGAGAAAUGGCCAAGGCAUAGGAGAAAAGGGAUCGGAGCAAACUUACUAAGUCUCUUACCUUAUGCAAUUAUGUGGAAUGUAUGGCUCACAAGGAAUGAUUACAUCUUCAAAGUGAAGCCGCCUAAUCUCGACAAACUCUGAAGCAGAAUUAAGCUUCUCUGUAGUUCUGGAUUGGAGGUAGAGCUCUGAACAAAUAUUAUACCUAUGCAUGCAGAUCUGACCAACAACUGGGAGUUAAUGCUGCUGCUGUAAUUGUCGAUUGUAAUUUGCUUUGGUUAUGUACACACUCAAGAGUUGUGAACUAUAAUACUAUAUGCAGUGAAUCUCUCUCUCACUGUCAUCUUGUUACCAUCAAUUAAAAGCGCCAAUUUAUCUAAAAAAGAAACCCUCAGACAUAGCAAUUUCAAUUCACUACAGUAAUUAUAAGUUGACAUUACUCAC